Molecule: ribosomal RNA, 478 nt
Filed under: uncultured bacterium
Lineage: Bacteria
Description: partial 16S ribosomal RNA
Rfam family: Bacterial small subunit ribosomal RNA
Source: RNAcentral
GACGAACGCUGGCGGCGUGCUUAACACAUGCAAGUCGAACGGUAAGGCCCUUGGGGGUACACGAGUGGCGAACGGGUGAGUAACACGUGGGUGAUCUGCCCUGCACUUCGGGAUAAGCCUGGGAAACUGGGUCUAAUACCGGAUAGGACCCUGGGAUGCAUGUCCUGGGGUGGAAAGCUUUUGCGGUGUGGGAUGGGCCCGCGGCCUAUCAGCUUGUUGGUGGGGUGAUGGCCGACCAAGGCGACGACGGGUAGCCGGCCUGAGAGGGUGACCGGCCACACUGGGACGGAGAUACGCCCCAGACUCCUACGGGAGGCAGCAGAGGGGAAUAUUGCACCAUGGGCGCAAGCCUGAUGCAGCGACGCCGCGUGGGGGAUGACGGCCUUCGGGUUGUAAACCUCUUUCAGCACCGACGAAGCGCAAGUGACGGUAGGUGCAGAAGAAGGACCGGCCAACUACGUGCCAGCCGCCGCAGUAA